Long non-coding RNA from Hypanus sabinus (Atlantic stingray), 1135 nucleotides. RefSeq lists it as uncharacterized. The record is from RefSeq and is a predicted model, not a curated record. NCBI's taxonomy places the organism in Eukaryota, Metazoa, Chordata, Chondrichthyes, Myliobatiformes, Dasyatidae. The transcript is spliced from 3 exons.
AUCAGGGUAUUCACUGAAAAACAUAUCCCUAUAUUGUUUAACUUCUUCACUUAAAUUAAUCUCAUCAAAUGACCCAGCCAGUAACACAACCUUCCCUGUUUCAGUAACAAUCAUUUUGCCCUCAAUAAUCAACACUGGAAUAUUAUGAUCCCCACAAAUCCCAUUUUCUAAAUCAUAUCCCAAACAAUUCCAAGUUUGAUAUCCCUUCAUAUAACCUCCAAUAAAUCACCUACUUCCUCACCACGGCCUUUGCCCUUUUAUUGUUAAUAAUGUAACUCGGAGACUGAUGCACCAUCACAUAAAAACUCACAUUUCUCCCAAUUUGCUUCCUGUCCCGUUAUAAAUCCAAAUCCAAACUCAUAAAGACUGGAAGGCUGACUGACGUUCACAUAAACUAAUCACCUUCCGAGUUCCCAUUUGAGCGACAGGCACUGCAGCCAAUGACAGCAGGGGUCAGUGUUACGUCUGAGCUACGAUAGGCUGGAGGAAAUCGGCCCAUGACCAGCCCCUCCUCUUCCGCUCCAUCGCCAUGGCGGAGAUCAGCGAGUCGCUUCUGUCGGUGUCGCCGGCCUCGGCGCCCACAAGGACGGUUGUGAUUCCCCUUCGCGCCUCGGUGGGUCUGUUUCGGGGACGUCUGUGGUGGCUGACGAAACAUGCUUUGACAGGGAGCGAGCGAGGACCAAUGACUACAACUCCCAGAAGGCCCCACUGAUGACGUUGUGGUGGUGUUUCCGGCUUUCCCACCACAGAUGUAAGGCUCAAUGGUCUAUAAUUAUCUGGACUAUCCCUACUACCCUUUUUGAACAAGGGGACAACAUUCGCCUCCCUCCAAUACUCCGGUACAAUUCCCGUGGACAAUGGGGACAUAAUGAUCUUCGCCAGAGGCUCAGCAAUCUAUUUCCUUGCCUCGGAUGCAGAACUGGGAAGCGCAGAUGGAGUUCAACACAGAUGAAGAGGUUCAUUUCUGCAGGUCAAAUUUGAACACAGAAUAUAAUAUUAAUGGUUAGGCCGUACUUGGAGUUUUGUCAAUGUUUUUGGUCCCAUACCUCAGAAAGGAAGCAGGAUCUCAUCGAAACCUACCGAGUGUUGAAGGGACGAGACAGGGUGCAUGUGUUUCAUAUGAUGGGGUAUCCAG